This 2201-nucleotide long non-coding RNA is filed under the name Olea europaea (common olive). RNAcentral describes it as "long non-coding RNA (OEUR_LNC001958)". The record is from RNAcentral. Lineage: Eukaryota; Viridiplantae; Streptophyta; Magnoliopsida; Lamiales; Oleaceae.
UUGUAUUCACGAGAAAUAGUUCAAGUUAGUCUAGGAGAAAUUUAAAUAAAAAAGUUACUAUUUUUUGUCUCAGAAGAGCUGUCAAAUUUGAGCAAAGCUGUCGAUGAUUAUUGUAUUAGUGAUGAUUCCGUUUUGUUCAUGGCGGCAUUAGGCCUGCAUUUCGGCUUUAUCUGCUAUCUUUCAUCGAGAGAAUGCUGCAUUACUUAUCCGAAAAAUUCGCCUCUAAAUCACUUAAAAAUGAAAAUCUCAAUUUGUACCCCUUUCUGAAGUAGUUUUAGACAAGCAAAGCUCAAGGGUAUCCCUUUCAGUUUCAUAAUUUUCAUAUGGAUGAAUUGCUCUACAGUCAUUUAACUUCUAUCUUUGUUCAGAAUGCUUUUGGAAAAUUUACACAAACACUACAGAUAUAUUUACGAGUGUAUGAACACUAAUAAAAAAAAAAAAAAAAAAAAAAAAUUUGAGGAGAAAAGUGCUAUAAAGUUGUGCUACAUUUCAAAGUGGUUGGGCUAUGAAAAACCUGCUUUGGAAGCUCUUUGAUAAACGUUUUCAAGAUUGCUUCAACAUUGUUUGGUUCUGCCAUCCUUCUAAAACCGACAAUGCUCUUAACUUAGAAAUGGAGAGCAAUUUGAAGAAAUGACUUUAAAUCUUUGUGUAUUGAUCCCUAAUCGAAUUGUUUGAGAUAUACCAAUUUAGAAGUGAAAGAAAUUGCUUUAUCAAUUGAAAGCGGUCAAAUUAGUGUAUUACCAAAUCAUGCCCCUAUAGCUAUAGAUAGAUUUCAAGAAUAUGCUUCAACAACUAAUGGUUAACAAUGACUCUGAUGGUUGAUUUUUCUAGAACACGCAAUAAUGAGAUUGAUGAUUUAGUAAAUUGUGCCUUCAAAUAGAUGAAAGUAAUUUCAGAAAAGAUGAAGGAAAUAGAGAAAUAAUUGAGGCAAGUAGACGUUGUUAAGGUGAUUUCAUCAUUAGUUGGUGCGUUCGAAUAAUCAAAAGAAGUUAUGUUAUUGAGCCUAUUUUGAUAGAAUUAUGUCAAGUGAAUCCAAUCAAGUAGACUCCACUACAAUGAAAUAAAUAAGAUAGAUAAUCAAUAAAAAUAAAAGAGGAUGGAUCGACAACCUUACGAGGUGACACUAACUAUAGUAUUUAGUAAGUUAUACAUAGUAUUGGAUUUGAAUCAAUCACUGCCAUCACAUGAAAGCAAAACUCUAACCACUUAGUUAAGUACGCCAUUUAUCUCCUAAAGAUAACCAAACGGAACCCAUGUUAUCGAUGGAUUAUAGAUAUCAUAUUAUUUAUGAACAAUACCACUAAAACAUAGAAGAUGUUGGAUCAUAGAACAUUCAUAUCGACAAAAAAUAUCUACAUGAUAAAAUAUGUAUCACAAGCACAAAAGGCUAUAACUCAAUUGGUAGAGCACCUCAUAUACACGCACUCCAAUAUUUUUCACGUUCAUAGAGUACAUCUACAUUUUUGCUUUAUGAAUAUAAUAAUUUUUGGGCAUUUUAAUAACAUCAAGUCUUAUUCCUAUUUAGGCAUUCUUCGUUUUGGAGAUCUUAGCCCCAAUUAGUACAGGGUGGGAGAAACUUUCUAGUUAUGACUCAUAUCCUUGGAUAAAUCAAUGGGUGACGCUUGAUUACGAUUUCGAAUCGACUAUUAUUUUUUAGCUCAAGUUUUUGUGGAUUUUGAUGUUGAAACGGUUGUAUGAGAGCGCGCACGCAUGGUAGCUAUAAAAACUAGAAAUGUUUGUAUGGUUACUCUAGACCCUUCUGUGAAGCGUGCAAUGUCAAAGGUUGAUUGAACCAAAAACUGCAACUACUAUUUGUUAAAGAAAUGUAACAGUUACAGAGAAAGUAUUGAGUGAGAAGAAUUAACAUUUUGCAGAUUCUCCCACUCUGCUACACCACCUCCUAAAAUGGAUUUGGAUCCUCACCCUUACUGUGAUAGGGAAAGCAUCAAUUGCAAGGACGUGAAGGAAAAUUUGGACAUGGCUGCACUGCUGAUUCAUCCCUUGAGCAAAGCUAUCGAUGAUUAUUGUAUUAGUGGGACAAUGAAGAAAAAUCCUUACAAGUUUCUCAGUGUAGUAGACGUCAAGGUUUGACAGCCUUUUACAGACCUGAAUGUACUUUUUACUCUGUAAAUAUGUAAUCCUUAUUAUUCAGAAAAAUUAAAGCUGAAACAAUAUAAACAAGGAAUUUGGCCUUAGCACAA